ACGAACGCUGGCGGCAUGCCUAACACAUGCAAGUCGCACGAGACCUUCGGGUCUAGUGGCGCACGGGUGCGUAACGCGUGGGAACCUGCCCUUAGGCUCGGAAUAACUCCCCGAAAGGGGUGCUAAUACCGGAUAAUGUCUUCGGACCAAAGAUUUAUCGCCUUUGGAUGGGCCCGCGUUGGAUUAGCUAGUUGGUAGGGUAAAAGCCUACCAAGGCGACGAUCCAUAGCUGGUCUGAGAGGAUGAUCAGCCACACUGGGACUGAGACACGGCCCAGACUCCUACGGGAGGCAGCAGUGGGGAAUAUUGGACAAUGGGCGAAAGCCUGAUCCAGCAAUGCCGCGUGAGUGAUGAAGGCCUUAGGGUUGUAAAGCUCUUUUACCCGGGAUGAUAAUGACAGUACCGGGAGAAUAAGCUCCGGCUAACUCCGUG
Molecule: ribosomal RNA, 432 nt
Filed under: uncultured bacterium
Lineage: Bacteria
Description: partial 16S ribosomal RNA
Rfam family: Bacterial small subunit ribosomal RNA
Source: RNAcentral